Molecule: RNA transcript, 4884 nt
Organism: Hippoglossus stenolepis (Pacific halibut)
Lineage: Eukaryota; Metazoa; Chordata; Actinopteri; Pleuronectiformes; Pleuronectidae
Gene: trappc14
Gene name: trafficking protein particle complex subunit 14
Exons: 12
Source: RefSeq, a predicted model, not a curated record
CUGGGGGUAGAUUAGUUUGGUCUGGUGGUCGCUCUGUUUUGGUAAUCUACUAACCGUCCUGUUUGUGGUGGGACUAGUAAAAGAGUUAAAGGAAGUGAAGCGGGGGGGACGGUGGAUGCUGAUCGCUUGAAUGUGACUUUAAUUAUGUUUCCUACGGAGUUUGGAUGUUAGACGGUUUCAGACACAUUGUCGUGCGCUUUUGUUUUCCCGCAGGAAGAUAUCGCGACAGCACUGGUUUGUUUACAAUGCAGCAGGUGGUUCACAGUUAGCUGAUGUUGGCGGACAUUACUUGGCGGUUGCUGUGAUGGAACCACUUUGCGAGUAUUUCAUGUACUUUCCGGCCGCUCCGAUACCGAGUCCCUUGGACCCGGCGGAGUACGCAACUCUCCCGCGGCGAAAUCACGUCUACCUCGGCGAGACCGUCCAGUUCCUGCUGGUGCUGCGGUUCCGGGAGGAGCGCUCUGGUGCGGUACCCUGGAGGGACCAGCUGGGAUCCCUGUCCGCUGUGGCGAGUGUGUGCGUCGCUGAGAGCCGGCAGCAGGGGCACGGCGAGGGGCAGCCGGACCUCCAGAGCAGCUGCAGCGGGGACGACGAGGACAAGGGUCCGGGGGAGAGGGAGCCCGGAUGCACCGACAGCAACCGGACCUUCACAGCGUGCAACACGUUCCUCGUUCACCGGAACCCGGCGUCUGAUGGGCGGCUGGAUGGGAAGGAACCGGUUAAGUCUGCUCUGGUGUUGGAUGACCAGGUUAUCUUCUGCCUCACAGUCUCUUUGGACAAGCUGCCAGUGAACACACUCAAAGCCAAGAUCAUAGUGACUGUGUGGAAGCAGGAGGAAGAAAAUGUGGAAGUGAGGGAACAUGGCUACCUGACUCUUCUGCAGCUCAGGAGCCCAACGCACACCUUCAGACAGGACCUGAACACCUUCAAGGCACAGGUCAACACCACCCUGAAUGUUCUGCCACCUCCCAGCGUCCAGUGUCAGCAGAUGACCGUGUCUGGAAAACACUUGACCGUUCUGAAAGUGGUGAACUGCAGCUCUCAGGAGGAGGUGUGUGUAAGAGACAUGAAGAUAGUUCCCAACUACAACUCGUCCUAUCUCCCCAUGAUGCCAGAUGGUUCCGUGCUCAUAGUUGACAAUGUGUGCCACCAAUCAGCUGAGCUCACCAUGGCGUCAUUCUAUCGGAUCGAUAGUGAGUCAUCACGCUUACCGAGCACGCUCAGUGCGCUGGAGCAACAGAACUUUCUAUUUCAGCUGCAGCUUCAAAACAAACCAGAAGAGGACUCCAGUGAGGGUUUGGAAAUCCCUUUGGUGGCUGUGUUACAAUGGUAUACUCCAGCACUUCCUCUCACAAGAUAUAUCUCUAGUUGUUACUCGUUGCCCAGUAUCCGCUUGGAUCGUCCUCAGCUGGUGAUGACAGCUUCCUGCCCAAGGGCCGUCAGGCCUCUGGAGCACUUCUGGGUUAAAUACACCCUCCUGAACAACUUGCAGGACUUUGCCGUCCAUCUGAUCUGGAAUUCUGAAGCUCAUAGUCAUCAGCAGGACCCCAGGGAUGAAGCGGUGGUGUGCCAGUCUCCCAUCAACAACCUGGGACAGUGUAGCAAGGGCUCCACCCUCUCCUUCACUGUGGCCUUCCAGAUCCUCAGAACUGGACUCUUUGAGUUAAGCCAGCAUAUGAAACUGAAGCUUCAGCUCACAGCUACUGUGUCCACUCCUCCUCCUCGAUCGCUACUGAAGAAAUCUCCACUAUCAUCAAGCUUGGUAGCCGGGGAGCUUCUAGAGACACGUACCCUGGGCCGAUCUCAGAGCUUCUCCCACCAACAGUCGGCCAGAUCAAACCAUGUUAGCAUGUCCAUGACACGGUGUCUCUGUUUGUUUCAGGACAGGCAGUGUGAUGGAGCAUCGGGCAAUCACACCACUUCUGGGACCUUCAAUGGGCAGAGCCACCCACCCUCCCCCUGACCACACCCUCAUUUCACUGGACAAAAUAGCCAAGAGAAAGUGUAAAGUGUUGGUGCUGGAACAUAUCCAAGAGGCAUACUGCAGAUGACGUGGAGAGGAAUGUUGUACUGAAGAUACAAACAUCAGUGUUGAUCCAUCAGUCCAGCCUCCAUGGAAGGAGGAGCAGAGAGGAGGGGAAUCAAAGGCCAGGAGGAGUGGCGGUGACGUGGUCGGGGGGGGAAGAGAUGAUGAAAGGAAAAGCCCUCAUGGAGCCACAGCGGUUCUUCAUUUCACUGGUUUAUCAUUUCAAUGGAUUAGGUACUUAUUCUCCUUCAAAUCAUCAUUUCAUUCCAUCAGAGUUAUUAUUUUUUGUUAAACAUUUUCUUCAAGCCUACAUUUAAUUGAAUUCUGUGGGUUAUUUUUUUACUCUCCUAUGUCUGGGGGGGAUUUUGUUGAUAUUUACAUAUGAAGGUUUUAUUAAAGCAUCAUUGACUGUUUUUUUUUGUAUAUGGCAGCUCACGUGUCAUUUUGGAUUUUCAGUCAGGAAACCUCAGAUUGGCUACAUUUGUGUGUACACUUGUUUGCCAUCCCAGUUCCACCUUGUGCAAACAGUCUGUUUAUCUGUUUCACACGACCUCCUUGCAAAUAGCCCUGAGCCCAGCUGCAGCAAACACCUUCAGGAUAAACUGGACCACUGGCUAUUACACAGACUGAAGAGCAGCACAUUAAUCAAAUGUUCAACAAUCACAUAUACAUUACUAUUACAUUACACAUAUCACAUACUGCUGGAAUGUUUGGCCGUCUAUACCUUGGGCCAUGUAAAAAAAAACUAGAAAGCUUGUCCCCAAAGCCAGCUAGGUUCUGGUCAGAAAGAGUAUGUGCUAAGCUAAGCUAAACGUGUGCAGAAACUAAUUUAGUUCUGUGCUGAAAAUCUAAACUGAUAUUAAUCUACAGUCAGAUUCUGGGUAAUGAAGCCAUAACAGAGUCCCCACAAGCUCCGACUGCUCCUUUAAAUAAUCGUGGACAUAUGCUGCUCUACAUUCUGACUGGGUAGUGCCUAUGGUUUUUAACUGCAAACUUUUUUUUGUCCAUAAAAUCCUGAAACAUGCUACUGUGUUAGGAUAAUGUAGCCAUGGUGAUAUACUAAUGCAAAUGCAAUUGUCUGUGUUUUGUAACUGGACCACAAACGUGUUAUAGUCAGUUUACAAAAGUUGACAGCCAACUCGAGGAAGUGAUGUGCACUCAGAUUGACAUUCAUCUGAAAAAAGUUAUUUUUAAAAUAGGGCAGAAUUUCAAUGUGAGUGUAUUGCAGCUUCAUAAACUAGUCCUUACACUGACUGAUUUGAUCUAUUUAUUGUGAAUGUUGAAUUUUUUUCUUGUAAGUUCUGUAGAAUCUAGUUUUUAAAUGGAUGCUUUUAUAGUCUUUAGUUUGAACUGUCUGCAGUCGAUCAGUGCAUCGAUGCACCAACAACUGUGCAGCACAUGAUAUAUAAUCUGAAUGAAAGCUGUCAUGAAUAAUGUGAAGUGCAGUGGGAGCAGGGUGGAGGUAAUGGGGUUCCACUGGCAUUUAGUUUCUUUUACAUUUCUAACAUUUACAUUUCUAGAUUUAAGUUGUCCCAGUGGAGAACAAUAUUGGUCUUAUGGGACCAUUAAAGUGUCUGCUCAGUAAAGACUUUCAGGCAGCUGUUUAAUGCAGGUGAAAAGAUUUUGAUCAGUUUACAAACUGAAACCUUUCUUCUUCCGUUGAUAUAUAUUUCUGUCUUACUGUGUCAAAGCCACUUAAUAAUUUCCUAGUUUGAUCAUUUCAUUGUCAAUAGUUUGGGUGCAGCUAGCAGUGGUUUUGGUGAUAUGCUGUGUGUGCAGAAUCACCUGCUAAAUAAGCAAAGGGAUAAGAUGCCCCAGAGGUUGUGUCUGAAAGCCUUCCCCCUCCUCACUGCUUGGACAGCUCUAUGUAGAGUCUAUGCAGUGAGCUCAUCACUGCUCAUUUUCUCUGUAAUACAAUUGCAAUGUGCCACGUCAAUAAAUAUCUGAAGCAUUUUAGAGAUAAAUACAUAUUUUACUGAGCGUAUUUUCAACACAAAUAUUUAGUGUCUGCUACAACUUUCAAUUCUCUUAAAUCAAGGCUUUUUCUGUUUUUCAGCUGCUUUUUAUUGAGUCACAUCUGAGGGUUUUGUUCAUCUUUGUCUAUGUUUACUCUCUACAUUCAUUUAUUAUAUGAAACUGUAUCGGGGGAAAAACUAACCUCAUAGCCUCAUGGUGUUUAAAAAGUUUUAAUCAGAUGAGACUUGAUGUGACAUCAGAAAGGCUGCUUCAUCAGGGCUGAACUAGCAACCCUGGAAAAUACUGUAUCGACUGUUGUGAUUCAACCCACUGACACAAAGUGUUGGUCAACGUAAUUUGCUCACCAUUCCAAGAGAAUGUGGUCAUUUAAAUCCCACUGGUGUCCCUGCCCUUUUCAACAAAAAGCUUUCUCCUGCAGCUUGUUAACAGAUGUGAAUCGCAGGGAUUCCAAACACAUCUGGGGAGUUCAUCUAAAGAGUAGGAUUAAAAAGCCCAGCUACUAAACCCUCAAGGUUAAAAUGCUCACUCUACAAGUUCAUUGUUGGAAAGACUCAGUUAAUGUUAUAAUGUAACAAUUACCAUGAGGACCCAGAGAUAAGAUGUUUUGGAGAGAAGUUGCAGGGUUUAUCAUUCAGAAAACAUUACUGUGCUGUGUCAUAUAUUCUACACAGCAGCAAUGUCAGAAUUAACUCUUACUGUAAUUUCAACAAUUUCUUCAGUGAUUGUAUUAGAAUAGCAUAUAAUGUUGGGAAUAAUAAUCUCUCUAAUAAUUUCAUUUCUGGAGCAGAACUCAAUCAGGUAGAGAACGAGUGCAUUUUAAUGCUUUCUUGUUUUGUCUAUUUAAAUUAAGAAACUAAUAAAACUUUCAUUUUACAUUUUCA